UACGAAGGGGGCUAGCGUUGCUCGGAAUCACUGGGCGUAAAGGGUGCGUAGGCGGGUCUUUAAGUCAGGGGUGAAAUCCUGGAGCUCAACUCCAGAACUGCCUUUGAUACUGAGGAUCUUGAGUACGGGAGAGGUGAGUGGAACUGCGAGUGUAGAGGUGAAAUUCGUAGAUAUUCGCAAGAACACCAGUGGCGAAGGCGGCUUACUGGUCCGGUUCUGACGCUGAGGCGCGAAAGCGUGGGGAGCAAACAGG
This 253-nucleotide ribosomal RNA is filed under the name uncultured bacterium. RNAcentral's name for it is "partial 16S ribosomal RNA". It matches the Rfam family "Bacterial small subunit ribosomal RNA", at positions 524 to 776 of the family's 1533-position model. The record is from RNAcentral.